GCGUUGGUGGUUUAGUGGUAAAAUUCAUCGUUGCCAUGAUAGUUGCAGACAUCACUUGAGUAUCUCAUCCCACGAGUACUCCAGGGAGCUCAACACCAUGAUUCGAUGAGCCCCGGGUUCGAUUCCCGGCCGACGCA
This 137-nucleotide transfer RNA is filed under the name Diplodia seriata. It matches the Rfam family "tRNA". Rfam says of the family: Transfer RNA (tRNA) molecules are approximately 80 nucleotides in length. Lineage: Eukaryota; Fungi; Ascomycota; Dothideomycetes; Botryosphaeriales; Botryosphaeriaceae. The record is from Rfam by way of RNAcentral.